RNAcentral lists this ribosomal RNA (119 nucleotides) under Cebus imitator (Panamanian white-faced capuchin). Lineage: Eukaryota; Metazoa; Chordata; Mammalia; Primates; Cebidae. The record is from RNAcentral.
GUCUACAGCCAUACCACCCUGGACAUGCCUGAUCUUGUCUGAUCUUGAAAGCUAAGCAGGGUCGGGCCUGGUUAGUACUUGGAUGGGAGACCACUUGGGACUACCAGGUGCUGUGGGCU